Molecule: ribosomal RNA, 359 nt
Filed under: uncultured bacterium
Lineage: Bacteria
Description: bacterial SSU rRNA
Rfam family: Bacterial small subunit ribosomal RNA
Source: RNAcentral
GCAGGCCUAACACAUGCAAGUCGAGCGGAUGAGGGAAGCUUGCUUCCCGAUUUAGCGGCGGACGGGUGAGUAAUGCCUAGGAAUCUGCCUGUUAGUGGGGGAUAACGUUCCGAAAGGAACGCUAAUACCGCAUACGUUCUACGGGAGAAAGUGGGGGAUCUUCGGACCUCACGCUAACAGAUGAGCCUAGGUCGGAUUAGCUAGUAGGUGAGGUAAUGGCUCACCUAGGCUACGAUCCGUAACUGGUCUGAGAGGAUGAUCAGUCACACUGGAACUGAGACACGGUCCAGACUCCUACGGGAGGCAGCAGUGGGGAAUAUUGGACAAUGGGCGAAAGCCCUGAUCCAGCCAUGCCGCGU